Long non-coding RNA from Cornus florida, 674 nucleotides. RefSeq lists it as uncharacterized. The transcript is spliced from 3 exons. The record is from RefSeq and is a predicted model, not a curated record. Lineage: Eukaryota; Viridiplantae; Streptophyta; Magnoliopsida; Cornales; Cornaceae.
GCCUAAACAGCUGAAAGAGGAUAUGUGGAACGUUGUAAAGGGAAAGUAUGAUGUGGGAAUCAUGUCAAAACAUUGGACAAUAUCCUCCAUCGGAAAAAAAUGGAGGGGGUACAAGUGUGAAUUAAAAAGUGAAUAUUACUCAGUUAGGGAUACAGAUGCAGAAAGAUUGGCAAACCCACCACCUGAUGUUGAAAAGGAGCAUUGGGAAUUUUUGGUUAGGCAUUGGGGUACGCCUAUGACGAAGGUAAUCCUCCAUCUACCAAUUUUGUUUAAAGUCAAUGAGUUGAAUUUAUAGUUUACCUACUUUCAGUCAUUAUUUUAGGUGGAGUGUUAGAACGUUUACUUUUUCUCACUUUUUGUAGGAGGUCAGUAAAAAAAACAAAGAACGUCGUGGGAAGCAGACAAUGAUGUAUACUACAAGGACAAAAAGCUUUGCAUGUGUUUCUGCCGAGAUUGAGGAAGACGAAGGUAUUCAGCUUUCUCGUGCAGAUUUAUUCAAUCGCACACAUAUAAAUAAGGAUGGCAAAGCUACUGAUGCUGCUGCUUCGGAGAUGAUUGUAAGUUUUCAUGCUUCCAUUUUGCAAAAAGGGGGUCACAUGCCUUGAAGUGACCAAAUUUUAAACUCUUUGCGGUGUAUUAGGGGGUCACAUGCCUUGAAGUGACCAAUUUUUAAA